This 496-nucleotide ribosomal RNA is filed under the name uncultured bacterium. RNAcentral describes it as "partial 16S ribosomal RNA". It matches the Rfam family "Bacterial small subunit ribosomal RNA", at positions 28 to 507 of the family's 1533-position model. The record is from RNAcentral.
GAUGAACGCUGGCGGCGUGCCUAAUACAUGCAAGUCGAGCGAACGACCAGAAUCUUGCUUCCUCGAUUUUAGCGGCGGACGGGAGAAUAACACGUAGCUAACCUUCCCUUAAGGAUGGGAUAACUUCGGGGAACCGUAACCAAUACCGGAAUAUUUUUUGAACCGCCUGGUUUAAAAAUGUAAGACGGUUUUGCUGUCACUUAUAGCUUGAUCCGCGGUGCAUUAGGUAGUUGGUUAGGUAACCGCUUACCAAGGCAACGAUGCAUAGCCGACCUGAGAGGGUGAUCGGCCACACUGGAACUGAGACACGGUCCAGACUCCUACGGGAGGCAGCAGUAGGGAAUCUUCCGCAAUGGGCGAAAGCCUGACGGAGCAACGCCGCGUGAGUGAGGAAGGUCUUCGGAUCGUAAAACUCUGUUAUUAGGGAAGAACAUAUGUGUAAGUAACUGUGCACAUCUUGACGGUACCUAAUCAGAAAGCCACGGCUAACUACGUG